GACGAACGCUGGCGGCGUGCUUAACACAUGCAAGUCGAACGGUGAAGCGCCUUCCUUUUUGGUGGGUGUGGAUGAGUGGCGAACGGGUGAGUAACACGUGAGUAACCUGCCCCCUUCUUCUGGAUAACCGCAUGAAAGUGUGGCUAAUACGGGAGAUUCUGGGUCUGUCGCAUGAUGGGUCUGGGAAAGAUAUUGUUUCGGUGGGGGAUGGGCUCGCGGCCUAUGAGCUUGUUGGUGGGGUGAUGGCCUACCAAGGCGGUGACGGGUGGCCGGCCUGAGAGGGUGGACGGUCACACUGGGACUGAGACACGGCCGAGACUGCUACGGGAGGCAGCAGUGGGGAAUAGUGCACAAUGGGCGAAAGCCUGAUGCAGCGACGCCGCGUGAGGGAUGGAGGCCUUCGGGUUGUGAACCUCUUUCGCCAGUGAAGCAGGCCUGCCUCGUUUGUGGGUGGGUUGACGGUAGCUGGAUAAGAAGCGCCGGCUAACUACGUG
This 494-nucleotide ribosomal RNA is filed under the name uncultured bacterium. RNAcentral's name for it is "partial 16S ribosomal RNA". It matches the Rfam family "Bacterial small subunit ribosomal RNA", at positions 28 to 507 of the family's 1533-position model. The record is from RNAcentral.